UACGUAGGGGGCAAGCGUUGUCCGGAUUUACUGGGCGUAAAGAGCGCGUAGGCGGAAGCUUAAGUGUGGCCUGAAAGCCCCCGGCUCAACCGGGGAAGGUGGCUGCAAACUGGGCUUCUUGAGGGGGAUAGGGGAAAGUGGAAUUCCGGGUGUAGCGGUGAAAUGCGUAGAUAUCGAGAGGAACACCUGCGGCGAAGGCGGGUUGCUGGGCUGACACUGACGCUGAUGCGCGAAAGCCAGGGGAGCGAACGGG
RNAcentral lists this ribosomal RNA (253 nucleotides) under uncultured bacterium. RNAcentral describes it as "partial 16S ribosomal RNA". It matches the Rfam family "Bacterial small subunit ribosomal RNA", at positions 524 to 776 of the family's 1533-position model. The record is from RNAcentral.